RNAcentral lists this ribosomal RNA (465 nucleotides) under uncultured bacterium. RNAcentral describes it as "partial 16S ribosomal RNA". It matches the Rfam family "Bacterial small subunit ribosomal RNA", at positions 28 to 507 of the family's 1533-position model. The record is from RNAcentral.
GACGAACGCUGGCGGCGUGCUUAACACAUGCAAGUCGUACGGUAAGGCACUUUCGGGGGUACACGAGUGGCGAACGGGUGAGUAACACGUGAGUAACCUGCCCACAACUUUGGGAUAACGCUAGGAAACUGGUGCUAAUACUGGAUAUGUGCUCCUGCUGCAUGGGGGGGGUUGGAAAGCUCCGGCGGUUGUGGAUGGACUCGCGGCCUAUCAGCUUGUUGGUGGGGUAGUGGCCUACCAAGGCGGCGAGGGGUAGCCGGCCAGAGAGGGUGACCGGCCGCAUUGGGACUGAGAGACGGCCCAGAUGCCGACUGGAGGCAGCAGUGGGGAAGAUUGCACAAUGGGCGCCAGCCUGAUGCAGAAACGCCGCGGGCGGGAUGACGGCCUUCGGGUUGUAAACCGCUUUCAGCAGGGACGAAGCUUUUUGUGACGGUACCUGCAGAAGAAGCACCGGCUAACUACGUG